This 56-nucleotide non-coding RNA is filed under the name Prorocentrum micans. Lineage: Eukaryota; Dinophyceae; Prorocentrales; Prorocentraceae. The record is from RNAcentral.
GUUUUUUUUUUUUUUUUUUUUUCCUUUUUCUCCCCCUUCUUAUCUGUACAUUUCGU